UCUGACAGUCUCCCGCAUAAUACGGUGCAUCUCGAUGCAAUUUCCAAUCAAGCUUGAUGGACUGGUGCAUAUUGAUUUCGUAAUGAUCUUGAACCUGUACCUGUAUCAAUACCUAUAUCACAGUGUCUCGACGUGUGUUAUCUGGAACGGAUCCGACGGCGUUUUUGUCAGGAAGUUACGCCUAACAUCUACAAUGCCUUAAUAUAACUCGAGGUAGCGAAACUCGUUGCUUUCCAAGCAACAUUAGCCGAUGGUGGGAUCUUGUCUUCUACCAAUCCUGGAGCAGAAGAUGUUCGCGGGAAGGUGCGACACGGUACACGCGAGUAAUGGGUGGGGAUUCGGUGAUGCGGUUCCUGGAGGAAUUUCGGGAUCAAAGCGGCCCGAGAGCGCGAAUCCUGCACCGCGUGAUCCAGUCUACGAUCGCACGUAGAGCGGCGAGGAACGCAUUCCUGGAUCCGAGUGAUCUUCAAGACGGAAAGCUCAAAGUGUUUUUCAUGUAAUAACUUUUAUAAUCGGAAAUAGAUUGUCUUUAGCCUAACGGCAAAAUACGCAAUUAGUUCGUGAGAAUCCAAGCGUUCAGCUGCCCAUACCGUCAAAAAAAAAAAAAAAAUAAUGCCAAACGCGGGCCACGAGACGACGAACCUUCUGAUGACGUACCUCAUCCUUAUUCUUCUAUUAAUCUCACUUUGGGUAUUAUACUCGGGGUUGUUUUUUUAAGUACAACAGACAUUCCUCACCAUGGGUUGAACAAAGGAGAAAACACGUGUCGAAAGGCGGAUGCAUUCAGAGAAUCCAAGAUCGUCACGGACAACCUCUCGUUCGGAGCUCGCCAGUUCUCAUUUAUUACAUUUUCAUUUACAAUCUAGGCGCCUGGAGACAUGUUUAUCCACGAUAAUCAUCUUUGACUGUUAGUGACCGAUUUCCGCGAUGGGAACUGUACAAAAAUAUAUUUAUCGGGCAACAGGAAAAAUUUUCAAACUUUGUUUCACUAUCGUGUCUCUCACUUCAAUUUCUUGCCACCUCGUCGUGGAAAUCGGCUAUCUUAAUAUUACACUAAUUAUAUCUCCUUAGAUAAUUAGUUAUAAAUACAUUUUUUGAAUUUAAAAUAAUAUUUAUUAUUUCACGAGCGUUUACAGCUACAAUUCGCAUCGUCAUUGAAUUGUGCUCUCGUUUGAAGUUAUAUAAAUAUAUCAGUUUGUUUCACCUGCGUUCGUGUAUGUUCGGAUGCUUCUCGUUUACCUUCAAUUGCAAUAUUAAAAAUGUACUAUGAAAAGUUUCGAAAAAUUUGUUUUGUAAUAUAUACUUUCAACAUACUGCAAACGAUAAAAUAAAAUCUCUUUGUUUGGAA
This is a long non-coding RNA of Solenopsis invicta (red fire ant), 1348 nucleotides long. RefSeq lists it as uncharacterized. The transcript is spliced from 3 exons. NCBI's taxonomy places the organism in Eukaryota, Metazoa, Arthropoda, Insecta, Hymenoptera, Formicidae. The record is from RefSeq and is a predicted model, not a curated record.